AACCUAGCACACCUGCGGUGUGUACCUGCGGAAGGAUCAUUACCUAGAGUUGUAGGCUUUGCCUGCUAUCUCUUACCCAUGUCUUUUGAGUACCUUACGUUUCCUCGGUGGGCUCGCCCACCGAUUGGACAAAUUUAAACCCUUUGCAGUUGAAAUCAGCGUCUGAAAAAACUUAAUAGUUACAACUUUCAACAACGGAUCU
Molecule: unclassified non-coding RNA, 202 nt
Filed under: soil metagenome
Description: partial contains 5.8S ribosomal RNA, internal transcribed spacer 2, and large subunit ribosomal RNA
Source: RNAcentral